Chiroxiphia lanceolata (lance-tailed manakin) is the source of this 1179-nucleotide long non-coding RNA. RefSeq lists it as uncharacterized. The record is from RefSeq and is a predicted model, not a curated record. NCBI's taxonomy places the organism in Eukaryota, Metazoa, Chordata, Aves, Passeriformes, Pipridae. The transcript has 4 exons.
CAGGGCCGGCUGACGGGGCGCCCGGAGAUCCUUCCGGGGCCGGAAGGCGGGGCUGUGGCGCUCUGGGGCGGCGCUUGGUGCCCGGUUCCCUUCCCAGGGAUGUUACAGCGGUACUCAGCUACUGUUAACGGGGAGUCACUCUGAGCACGCCGUAUUAACGAGGGUUACCCCUCAGCACCCUUGUUAACCGGGCGUCCCCUUCAGCGCCCCCUGUUCAUGAGAACUCCCCAUCAGCACCCCGGUUAACGGGGACUCCCCCUCAGCACCCUCUGUCAACGAGGUCCCCCUCAGCAUCUCUUAACGAGGGGUCCCCCUCGGCAGCCCCUGUUAACGAAGAAUCCCCCUCAGCCCCCGUUACCGAGUGUCCCACUCAGCCCCUGUUCCGGGGGUGUCCCCUCGCCGCGCGGGGCCGGCCUGAGGCGGGCGGUGCUCGGGAGCAGCGUCCCCUCCCUCAGAGCGGGCGGUUCUGCUUCACCUUAAACCAUAUUUAUUUCAGUAGUUCCAGUGUUGUGUUGGAGUUUCUUUGCCGUGUCCAUUAAGCGUUUUAAGAACAACAACAUGAGUUGGUAGUAUGUCAGGGUUUCAUAAAAACUAAACGUUCUUAGCCGCCUGCUGUAAUAAUGGUAGAAAUAUGACGAAGUCGAGAGAUUAUUUAACACUUUUGACUAAAGGAAACUUUUGUUUCUUAUAUUUAAUGACAGAUAUGCGGCUUUGUAUAUUCCCGUUAUGUUUGUGGGAAUGUUCAGCCCGAAGCUGAGCAUCUGGUUUGUUUUAUUUUUAUAAAAGCUUUGCCCUGCAAAUAGUGGCAGCAUUUUUUUCUCAGGGAGAAUCCAUGCAUGGAAAAUUGGAGGCAUUGAGACAAAACAGCAAAUUUAAAGAACUAUUGAACAUUGUAAAUACAACGUUGACCAAGAUGAAAACAAAAAGAGGGAGGACAGAAAUGGGAAAGUAAUGGCAUUAAGUAGCCUAAAGGAGAAAGAACCCAAACAACAAAGAAGAUGGCUAGUGAGUUCUUCAGCUUGGUGCUGGGAAGGUGAGGACAACAGAGGCCCUGCACCUGCACCCCUGCUAAGGAAAACAAGUAGAAGAGGCGUUUUUAGAGUCAGCAGCAGAAACACAAACCAGCUGGGCUGCCCUUCUCAAGGGUGAGUGCUCUGAGGAGUAGAGCUGGUUGAGCUU